This 560-nucleotide ribosomal RNA is filed under the name uncultured Alphaproteobacteria bacterium. Its description in RNAcentral is "bacterial SSU rRNA". It matches the Rfam family "Bacterial small subunit ribosomal RNA", at positions 338 to 916 of the family's 1533-position model. The record is from RNAcentral. Lineage: Bacteria; Pseudomonadati; Pseudomonadota; Alphaproteobacteria.
CCUACGGGAGGCAGCAGUGGGGAAUCUUAGACAAUGGGCGCAAGCCUGAUCUAGCCAUGCCGCGUGUGUGAUGAAGGCCUUAGGGUCGUAAAGCACUUUCGCCAGGGAUGAUAAUGACAGUACCUGGUAAAGAAACCCCGGCUAACUCCGUGCCAGCAGCCGCGGUAAUACGGAGGGGGUUAGCGUUGUUCGGAAUUACUGGGCGUAAAGCGUACGUAGGCGGAUCAGAAAGUAUGGGGUGAAAUCCCAGGGCUCAACCCUGGAACUGCCUCAUAAACUCCUGGUCUUGAGUUCGAGAGAGGUGAGUGGAAUUCCGAGUGUAGAGGUGAAAUUCGUAGAUAUUCGGAGGAACACCAGUGGCGAAGGCGGCUCACUGGCUCGAUACUGACGCUGAGGUACGAAAGUGUGGGGAGCAAACAGGAUUAGAUACCCUGGUAGUCCACACCGUAAACGAUGAAUGCCAGUCGUCGGGCAGUAUACUGCUCGGUGACACACCUAACGGAUUAAGCAUUCCGCCUGGGGAGUACGGUCGCAAGAUUAAAACUCAAAKGAAUUGACGG